GAUGAACGCUAGCGGCAGGCUUAAUACAUGCAAGUCGUGGGGCAGCGCGGGUAGCAAUACCUGGCGGCGACCGGCAAACGGGUGCGGAACACGUACGCAACCUUCCUUUAAGUGAGGAAUAGCCCAGGGAAACUUGGAUUAAUACCUCGUAACAUUAUGAGAUGGCAUCAUCUUAUAAUUAUAGCUUCGGCGCUUAAAGAUGGGCGUGCGGCUGAUUAGGUAGUUGGCGGGGUAAUAGCCCACCAAGCCUACGAUCAGUAACUGGUGUGA
RNAcentral lists this ribosomal RNA (270 nucleotides) under uncultured bacterium. RNAcentral describes it as "partial 16S ribosomal RNA". It matches the Rfam family "Bacterial small subunit ribosomal RNA", at positions 28 to 295 of the family's 1533-position model. The record is from RNAcentral.